This 669-nucleotide ribosomal RNA is filed under the name uncultured Actinomycetes bacterium. RNAcentral's name for it is "SSU rRNA". It matches the Rfam family "Bacterial small subunit ribosomal RNA", at positions 245 to 915 of the family's 1533-position model. The record is from RNAcentral. Lineage: Bacteria; Bacillati; Actinomycetota; Actinomycetes.
CUUGUUGGUGAGGUAACGGCUCACCAAGGCUUCGACGGGUAGCCGGCCUGAGAGGGUGACCGGCCACACUGGGACUGAGACACGGCCCAGACUCCUACGGGAGGCAGCAGUGGGGAAUAUUGGACAAUGGGCGAAAGCCUGAUCCAGCAACGCCGCGUGAGGGAUGACGGCCUUCGGGUUGUAAACCUCUUUCAGUACCGACGAAGCGCCUUUAACGGUGGUGACGGUAGGUACAGAAGAAGGACCGGCCAACUAUGUGCCAGCAGCCGCGGUAAUACGUAGGGUCCGAGCGUUGUCCGGAAUUAUUGGGCGUAAAGGGCUCGUAGGCGGUCUGUUGCGUCGGGAGUGAAAACUUACAGCUUAACUGUGAACUUGCUUUCGAUACGGGCAGACUUGAGGUAUUCAGGGGAGAACGGAAUUCCUGGUGUAGCGGUGAAAUGCGCAGAUAUCAGGAGGAACACCGGUGGCGAAGGCGGUUCUCUGGGAAUAUCCUGACGCUGAGGAGCGAAAGUGUGGGGAGCGAACAGGAUUAGAUACCCUGGUAGUCCACACCGUAAACGUUGGGCGCUAGGUGUGGGGUCCAUUCCACGGAUUCCGUGCCGCAGCUAACGCAUUAAGCGCCCCGCCUGGGGAGUACGGCCGCAAGGCUAAAACUCAAAGGAAUUGACG